RNAcentral lists this ribosomal RNA (484 nucleotides) under uncultured bacterium. Its description in RNAcentral is "partial 16S ribosomal RNA". It matches the Rfam family "Bacterial small subunit ribosomal RNA", at positions 30 to 507 of the family's 1533-position model. The record is from RNAcentral.
AUUGAACGCUGGCGGCAGGCCUAACACAUGCCAGUCGAGCGGAUGAAGGGAGCUUGCUCCUGGAUUCAGCGGCGGACGGGUGAGUAAUGCCUAGGAAUCUGCCUGGUAGUGGGGGAUAACGUCCGUAAACGGGCGCUAAUACCGCAUACGUCCUGAGGGAGAAAGUGGGGGAUCUUCGGACCUCACGCUAUCAGAUGAGCCUAGGUCGGAUUAGCUAGUUGGUGGGGUAAAGGCCUACCAAGGCGACGAUCCGUAACUGGUCUGAGAGGAUGAUCAGUCACACUGGAACUGAGACACGGUCCAGACUCCUACGGGAGGCAGCAGUGGGGAAUAUUGGACAAUGGGCGAAAGCCUGAUCCAGCCAUGCCGCGUGUGUGAAGAAGGUCUUCGGAUUGUAAAGCACUUUAAGUUGGGAGGAAGGGCAGUAAGUUAAUACCUUGCUGUUUUGACGGUACCAACAGAAUAAGCACCGGCUAACUUCGUG